UGUCUCUGACCUGGGUAAAGUGGCAUCUGGUUGGUGGUACUUAUCUCAAAUCACACAGACAUAAGGCAACCUCUUGUUUAUCCCAGCUUGGCUUUUCUUAUCUUUUUUUUUUUUUUUUUUUUUUUAGACAGGGUC
Non-coding RNA from Macaca mulatta (Rhesus monkey), 135 nucleotides. The record is from Rfam. Lineage: Eukaryota; Metazoa; Chordata; Mammalia; Primates; Cercopithecidae.